AGAAUUGUGAAAGGUCUGAACAAAUGUCAUUUCUUACAGUAAAUAUAAUCUGUUCUACAUACUUACUAGAAGUCUCCUUACUGGGAAUUUCGGUUUAACAUUGCAUGGAUGUCCCAGGAAGAACUUUGAGCUUAAUAAUUUAGGAAGAACCUGUGACUAUCUCAGAAAACAUCUUUCUUCUUUUUAGUGGAAAUAGCAAAAGACUGAGUCUGUGGAAGUGUAAAUGACCUCUUUCCCCAUAGAUCAUGGAACAUGCUUGUUCUUUAGAGCAGUCAUUUUGUUUCAUGUUCAUCUCGUAAGUCAAGAAAGGGGUCAUUAUUAUUACCUGGGUCCAAAUUAAUUAUCAGAAGGUUCCUUGAUUAAUGCAAAAUUAGAGAAAGGGAGGGACCAUGGUGAGGCACUGUUCCCCAUGCACAGCACAUCUCUAGUGACUUCAGUUGCGUGGACGAGUCUCUUCAGGACACCAGCUGCAGUACAGGCCUUCCCUCUGGUCAGUGUCUUCCUUUAGAUGUGAAAGCAUAGCUGUUAAGUUAGUCAAGGCACCUCUAGUUUGAUUAUUUUAAUUCUCAGAGGAUAGCUAUCUGUCCACAGCCUCCUUGUAGUUAGAUGAAGGUGGCAGGCAGCCGUAGUGGGAAAGUUAGGCCUUGAGUGUGUUGGAGUUGAGCAGCCCUGGGUCACAUGCCCUGCCUGGGGGUUCUUGAGGCCAUGUACGUAGGGGUUAGUGAAUUUUUCAGUUCAGGCCAGGGCUCUGGUCCUCAUUGCUUAUUCUAUAAAGGAAAGUAGACCUAAAACAAAGAGGAGAAAAUUGUUACAUAACUUGGAGGAGAAUUAUGAUUUAAAUGAAACAUCUGAAAAUUAUAUGAUUGUAUUAACCAAUGUUACCCCAAUAAACUUAAUUGAAAAAUAAUUUUAAAAAUAAUUUAAAAAUAAAAUGAAACAUCUGCACAAGACUCCCUUGGAGGGUAAGAGGAGAGUGUCUUAUUUUUCUUUGUGUUUCUAAAGCACCCAAUUCAGAAUUGACCCUCAGUAAUAGAACCAAACUGUGUUUUCUCCUUAUAAAGAUGACCUCAACACACACAUACUCUAACCUAGAGACCUCCGUGGAUUAAAACCCAUUUUAUAAUAAUCUAGGCCUGAAUCCUUUGGACUGGACAUCUGUCCAGAGCCAGCUGCUAGUCCCAGACAGACCCUUUUUGGUCAUCACGUGUGCCAGGCUCCAGUGGACCAUUUGCCCUCUGGCCCACAGCGUUCUUCCCAGGACCGUGUGGAGUACCUGGUAUAUGAAAUUUGUUUCAAGAAUCUCGUUCUCUGGGCCACCACUGAUGUAAUUACUGUCACUACAGAUGCUUGUCUUUUUUAGAACUUCAUAGAAAUGGAGUCAUUCAGUAUGAACUCUUAUGUCUGCCUUCUUUUACUCAGCAUAAUGUUUUUGAGCUCCAUCUGUGUUGUUUGAUGUAUCAGUGGUUCAUUUUUAUUGCUGAGUAAUAUUUAAUUGUAUGGGUACACUACAAUGUAUAUCCAUUUACCUGAUGAUUGGCAUUUGGUAUGUUUUCAGAUUUUGGUGAUUUUUAAUAAAAGCUACUCAAAAAAAGAA
Pteropus alecto (black flying fox) is the source of this 1594-nucleotide long non-coding RNA. RefSeq lists it as uncharacterized. NCBI's taxonomy places the organism in Eukaryota, Metazoa, Chordata, Mammalia, Chiroptera, Pteropodidae. The record is from RefSeq and is a predicted model, not a curated record. The transcript has 2 exons.